AACGAACGCUGGCGGCAUGCCUAACACAUGCAAGUCGAACGAGAUCUUCGGGUCUAGUGGCGCACGGGUGCGUAACGCGUGGGAAUCUGCCCUUUGGUUCGGAAUAACAGUUGGAAACGACUGCUAAUACCGGAUGAUGACGAAAGUCCAAAGAUUUAUCGCCAGAGGAUGAGCCCGCGUAGGAUUAGCUAGUUGGUGUGGUAAAGGCGCACCAAGGCGACGAUCCUUAGCUGGUCUGAGAGGAUGAUCAGCCACACUGGGACUGAGACACGGCCCAGACUCCUACGGGAGGCAGCAGUGGGGAAUAUUGGACAAUGGGCGAAAGCCUGAUCCGGCAAUGCCGCGUGAGUGAUGAAGGCCCUAGGGUUGUAAAGCUCUUUUACCCGGGAUGAUAAUGACAGUACCGGGAGAAUAAGCUCCGGCUAACUCCGUGCCAGCAGCCGCCGUAA
This 449-nucleotide ribosomal RNA is filed under the name uncultured bacterium. RNAcentral's name for it is "partial 16S ribosomal RNA". It matches the Rfam family "Bacterial small subunit ribosomal RNA", at positions 29 to 523 of the family's 1533-position model. The record is from RNAcentral.